This 1219-nucleotide non-coding RNA is filed under the name Capsicum annuum. RNAcentral describes it as "Eukaryotic large subunit ribosomal RNA". It matches the Rfam family "Eukaryotic large subunit ribosomal RNA", at positions 665 to 1888 of the family's 3401-position model. The record is from Rfam by way of RNAcentral. Lineage: Eukaryota; Viridiplantae; Streptophyta; Magnoliopsida; Solanales; Solanaceae.
ACCAAGGAGUCUGACUUGUGUGUGGAUAAACGGUUGAGUAAACCGAUAAGGCGCAAGGAAUCUGAUUGGUGGGAUCCCUCUGAGGGGUGCACCGCCUACCAACCUUGAUCUUUUGAGAAGGGUUCAAGUGUGAGCAUACCUAUCGGGACCCGAAAAGUGGUGAACUAUGCUUGAGUGAGGCGAAGCCAUAGAAAACUCUGGUAGAGGCCCGCAGCGAUACUGACGUGCAAAUCAUUCAUCUGACUUGGGUAUAGGGGCGAAAGACUAAUCGAACUGUCUAGUAGCUGGUUCCCUCCGAAGUUUCCCUCAUGAUAGCUGGAACUCAUGUGCGAUUUCUAUCGGGGAAAGCCAAUGAUUAGAGGCCUCAGGGGCGCAAUGCCCUCGACCUAUUCUCAAACUUUAAAUAGGUAGGACAGCGCGGCUGCUUUGCUGAGCCACGCCACAGAAUCAAGAGCUCCAAGUGGGAUAUUUUUGGUAAGCAGAACUGGUGAUAUGGGAUGAACCGAAAGUCAGGUUGUGGUGCCAAACUACACGCUAACCUAGAACCCACAAAAGGUGUUGGUCGAUUUAGAUAGCAGGAUGAUGGUCAUAGAAGUCGAAAUCCACUAAAGAAUAUGUAACAACUCACCUUCCGAAUCAACUAAACCUAAAAAUGGAUGGCUCUUAAGCACGCGACCUACACCCGGUCGUUGGGGCAAGUUCCAGGCCUCGAUGAGUAGGAGGGCACGGUGGUCGCUGCAAAACCUUGGGCGCGAUCCUGGGCAGAGUGGCCGUCGGUGUAGAUCUCGGUGGUAGUACAAAAUAUUCAAAUGAGAACUUUGAAGGCUAAAGAGGAGAGAGGUUCUAUGUGAACGACACUUGUACAUGGUUUAGUCGAUCCUAAAGGUCGGGGGAACCCCGAUAGUAGCGCAUUUUGUGCGUACUCCAAAAGAGAAUUGGGUUACAAUUCCUAAAUCAAGAUAUGGUGGUUGACGUCAACAUUAAAAAGUAUGGAUACAUCAGCGGGAGCCUUGGGAAGAGUUAUCUUUUUUGUUUAAUAGCCUGCCUACUCUGGAAUCGGCUCAGCCAGAGGUAGGGUCCAGAGGCUGGAAGAGCACCGCACGCUGCGUGGUGUCCGAUGCUCUCCUGACAGCCCUUAAAAAUAUGAAGGACCGAAUUCCAUCCACUCCCGGUUGCACUCUUAACCGCAUUAGGUCUCCAAGGUGAACAACCUCUAGUC